Molecule: ribosomal RNA, 528 nt
Filed under: uncultured Cyclobacteriaceae bacterium
Lineage: Bacteria; Pseudomonadati; Bacteroidota; Cytophagia; Cytophagales; Cyclobacteriaceae
Description: bacterial SSU rRNA
Rfam family: Bacterial small subunit ribosomal RNA
Source: RNAcentral
AGAGCGGCGCACGGGUGAGUAACGCGUAUGCAACCUACCCCUUACCGGGGGAUAGCCCGGGGAAACCCGGAUUAAUACCCCAUGGUAUGAAGAUGUGGCAUCACAACUUUAUUAAAGAUUUAUCGGUAGGGGAUGGGCAUGCGUAGGAUUAGUUAGUUGGCGGGGUAACGGCCCACCAAGACUGUGAUCCUUAGGGGUUCUGAGAGGAAGGUCCCCCACACUGGCACUGAGAUACGGGCCAGACUCCUACGGGAGGCAGCAGUAGGGAAUAUUGGGCAAUGGGCGGGAGCCUGACCCAGCCAUGCCGCGUGCAGGAAGAAGGCGUUAUGCGUUGUAAACUGCUUUUAUACGGGAAGAAAAGGCCCAUGCGUGGGACAUUGCCGGUACCGUAUGAAUAAGCACCGGCUAACUCCGUGCCAGCAGCCGCGGUAAUACGGAGGGUGCAAGCGUUGUCCGGAUUUAUUGGGUUUAAAGGGUGCGUAGGCGGCUUUUUAAGUCAGCGGUGAAAGUCUGUGGCUCAACCAUAGA